CCUACGGCGGCAGCAGUGGGGAAUAUUGGACAAUGGGCGAAAGCCUGAUCCAGCCAUGCCGCGUGUGUGAAGAAGGCCUUCGGGUUGUAAAGCACUUUCAGUGGGGAAGAAAGCCUUGGGGCUAAUACCCUCGAGGAAGGACAUCACCCACAGAAGAAGCACCGGCUAACUCCGUGCCAGCAGCCGCGGUAAUACGGAGGGUGCGAGCGUUAAUCGGAAUUACUGGGCGUAAAGCGCGCGUAGGCGGUCUGAUAAGCCGGUUGUGAAAGCCCCGGGCUCAACCUGGGAACGGCAUCCGGAACUGUCAGGCUAGAGUGCAGGAGAGGAAGGUAGAAUUCCCGGUGUAGCGGUGAAAUGCGUAGAGAUCGGGAGGAAUACCAGUGGCGAAGGCGGCCUUCUGGACUGACACUGACGCUGAGGUGCGAAAGCGUGGGUAGCAAACAGGAUUAGAUACCCGGUAGUC
This 463-nucleotide ribosomal RNA is filed under the name Vreelandella stevensii. RNAcentral's name for it is "partial 16S ribosomal RNA". It matches the Rfam family "Bacterial small subunit ribosomal RNA", at positions 338 to 795 of the family's 1533-position model. The record is from RNAcentral. Lineage: Bacteria; Pseudomonadati; Pseudomonadota; Gammaproteobacteria; Oceanospirillales; Halomonadaceae.